Molecule: ribosomal RNA, 253 nt
Filed under: uncultured bacterium
Lineage: Bacteria
Description: partial 16S ribosomal RNA
Rfam family: Bacterial small subunit ribosomal RNA
Source: RNAcentral
UACGAAGGGGGCUAGCGUUGCUCGGAAUCACUGGGCGUAAAGCGUACGUAGGCGGAUUGCUAAGUCAGGGGUGAAAUCCUGGAGCUCAACUCCAAAACUGCCUUUGAUACUGGCGACCUUGAGUCCGGGAGAGGUGAGUGGAACUGCGAGUGUAGAGGUGAAAUUCGUAGAUAUUCGCAAGAACACCAGUGGCGAAGGCGGCUCACUGGCCCGGUACUGACGCUGAGGUGCGAAAGCGUGGGGAGCGAACAGG